CAAAUAACGCGAGAUCGCUGCCAAAGGCCGCGAGAGUUCGGACGGCUAGGAAGGGGGAAUAACGGAAGAACGAGAGUCGGGGGGAGGGGAGAGGACGGAGAGAAGGCCUGCGCUGGAGCUGGCCCUAAAGAUCUUGAGAACCAAAGGAGGAGUGAAACUCUGAAGACCUCUCCUUUCCCGUUCUGGGCUUUGGCUGACUUUCAAAGUCAGGGGGUGAAUGAAGGAGAUGGAGGGAAAAGACAAGGAGGAAGUUGUCUCACCAGUAACAAGCUCUUACUGUCUUGGUGGCCUCCCUCGGCCUUGACCUCCCCGGCUGUUCAAGCAUUACCAGCCCCAUUCCAUGAACAUCAAAGAGAUGGAGGAAGUUCCCGGAAUACCCAGGUCCUAUUGUACAGAGAAUGACGCCCUCUAUCCAUCAAACUUCUGAAGGCAGACUGUAUUCCUGUGAUCUCUCUCUGAAGAAUGUCUAUUGUGAUUUCCAUAAAGUAGUUUUCUUUCUUGGUUUUAAGUGUCCCACAUGAAAGACAACCUUCUGACAGUUCUGUUUCCAGUAACAGUGCCAAGCAAUUCACUCCAGAACCUCCUCCAUUUCCUAUCUUUGUUUGGCACCAGGAAAUUACAGUGGAAGACCUAAAUUGUUUACCCAGAAAUAAAUAAUCUCAUAGAUGAAGGUAUUAAAGUAAUUGAAGUCAAUAGGACAGGAAAAGUCUCAAGACCUAAAAGGCCAGCUUUUGGUGACGGGAACCAUUUAAACAGAUUUUUGGCUAUUAAGAGAUUCCCAUGUUUCCAUGAUGGUAAAAAUGUUCAAUCAUUUGAAAUGAGAACAGGAAUGAAAAGAUCAUAGGAUUUCAGACUAUAAGUGAUGUUUAGAAAUAAUUUCUUCCUCCUCCCUUGUUUUAUUUUUUUAACUCUCGCCUUUUAUCUUAAUAUCAAAUAUAUUUUUUAAUCCUUACCUUCUAUCUUAGAAUUAAUCCUAAGUAUUGGUCCCAAAGCAGAGGAAUGGUAAGGGCUAGUCAGUUGGAGUUAAAUGAUUUGCCCAGAGUCAUACAGUUAGGCAGCGUCAGAAAUUAGAUUUUGAACUCAGGGCCUCCUGUCUCCAGGCCUGCCUUUCUAUCCACUUGAGCCACCUACCUGCCCCCUUAGUAUUAACUCCCACCCCCACCCCCCCAAAAAAGAGUAGCAAGAGUAUGCAUAUAGCUAGGUGGUAUCUGAGUUCGGAUUUGAACCCAGGUCCUCCUGAUUCUAGGCCUGGGGUUCUAUCUACUGUGCUGCCUAGCUAUCCCCCUCCCUUGUUUGUUUGUUUGUUUUCGCAGAGGAAACUGUCAUUCAUUCAGAGAGGAAAGUUACUUAGCCAAAGGCCACACUGCCAAUCAGGGGCAGAAUCGGGAUUCAGACUUAGGCCUUUUGGUUCCAAGACUCUUUCUUUCUACCAUGCCACAGUUAGUAGUUGGAUUGACCAAGCAGCUGCUCUAUGCUUCCAGUUCAAUUUGUGUAGGAUUUUUCAUUUCUAGGAGCUCCACUCUGGAGCAGUUUUAAGGGAAUAUGUUUGAGGGAUCCAAAGAAAGGAUGAUGGGAUUCAAGUGAUGAGUUCUGAAGUCUCUUCCUACUCAGAAUCUGUGAUUCUCUAAAUCUCCUCCAAGAAACCUUUCACUUGCUAAGGAAGAAGCAAAUAAUUCUAUAGUGCAGAAACAGGUGGCAGGUCUCUGUCUCCAAGAAAUGCUCUCAUUUUGGACUACCUGGGAGAAAUGAGUUUUAAGCUGGGACUACAUGUGUUUGCAUAAUUUACCCCAUGUACUACAGGCAGCUCUUUACCAGGGCAGCUUCAAGGAGCAAUAAUGAAGAGGCAAGGGAGUUAUCAUUCACUGAAGGAAGGUUCAGAAAUCCUGAUCCUAUAGGAAUUAAUUACUCGUGGAUUCAAGGAUUUCAUCAGGAGAUGUAACUUGAAAAGAAGAUGUGGAAAUAAGCAAAGAGGGAGCCCAAGAGAAAAAAAAAGUUAAGUCCUAUGGUCUCAGUCUUCUUCUCUACCUCAAGUCUAAUCCUCCUACCAGGGGACUCCAGUAUACAUAGUAAUAUUGAUGUUCCUUCAAAUAUUCUACAUUUCUCUUUCAUCAGUCUACCCAACUCCCAUGACUUACUCUUCCAUUCCAUUUCAACUCUGGACAAGGAUAUAUCUUUGAUUACAAUUACCCCCAAGAAGUACCACCCAUAGACCAGGUAAACAAGGCCACAGGUCCAUGUUCUUUCCCUUAAAAGGUCCUGCUUAUAAAAAAUUAUUACAAAGGGUAGCUGGGUGGCUCAGUGGAUUGAGAGUCAGGCUUAGAGAUGGAAGGCCCUAGGUUCAAAUCUGGUCUCAGAUAGUUCCUAGCUGUGUGACCCUGGGCAAAUCACUUAACCCACAUUGCCUAGCCCUUACCAUUCUUCUGCCUUAAUACACAGUAUCGAGUCUAAGAUGGAAGGUAAGGGUUUAAAAAAAUUUUUUUUAAAUAAAAAAUUAUUAUGAUAAAAAUGAAAUAUGCAAAACAAAAUAAAAUUAUGAAUGACCUGCACAACCAAAUGAAUGUAACCUUAUUUGUAUGGGAUAUAAGAACAUUGGACUACAUCUAAAUUAAGCCAGUCCAAUUGUCCUGAAUUAUGUAGUUCAAAGGUGGUGGAUAACCCAUUGGAAGAGCUAUUUUGGAAGUGAGGCAUCUAGUUGCCACAUCUGUCAUUGCUCUGUCAGUUCAGCAGUGACUGGUGUCCAAUCCCAAUUCUGCCAGCAUGAGAGGUUGGGAGUUUAAUUAUCCCUCCCUCUGCAGUUUCUGCUGUAAGAAUUCAAGGAAGGAUGAAAAGAAAAGCCUUGAGCUGCCCUGUCAGAGGGUGAUAACUUGGAGCCCAUCUAAGAUAAAGAUCUGAGUGCCCUCUAUCAAGAGGUUGAAACUCAGAGUCUGCCUGAGAACAAGCCCAAGUGCUCUUUCACUCCCCUUCUUUAGGUCUCUCAUAAUAAUACAUGUCUCUAGCUGGCAAAGACAUGCUGUUGCUGACCGUUCCAUGAGCCUUGGAUGGUGCUUGAAUCAUAAUCUUACUUCAAGUCUUAUCUGCAUUUCUUGGGAAUAUUCUCUCACCCAAAUUCCUGGAAUCCUUAUCCUGC
This is a long non-coding RNA of Monodelphis domestica (gray short-tailed opossum), 3127 nucleotides long. RefSeq lists it as uncharacterized. The record is from RefSeq and is a predicted model, not a curated record. NCBI's taxonomy places the organism in Eukaryota, Metazoa, Chordata, Mammalia, Didelphimorphia, Didelphidae.